This is a long non-coding RNA of Gallus gallus (chicken), 370 nucleotides long. RefSeq lists it as uncharacterized. The record is from RefSeq and is a predicted model, not a curated record. Lineage: Eukaryota; Metazoa; Chordata; Aves; Galliformes; Phasianidae. The transcript is spliced from 3 exons.
ACCAUUAUGACAUAGGCAUCAUCUGGGACCAUUUUGAAGGCAAACUCCUUGAUCCCAUUGAGGCAUUCAGCUCCACUGACCAUUUUCCAGCCAGACAUUAAAAAAUAUCUUCAAAAGGAGAAGACGGCAGCAAUGUACAUACUGUGCAGAAUGGAGACCCCAGCGAGGCACGUUAGAUCCCAGGUAACCUACAGGAACUGAAGGAGCAAGAACCAUCCUCAAGGGAGCCCCAGGAGAUCAAAUGGCACGAUCGAGUCAUCACUGAGCCUGGGGUGGUCUUGAAUUUCAGUUGAUUCCAGCAGGAAGGGAGCAAUGAGAUCCCCCCACCACAGUGGAACACUGGCACUGAUGCCAAGGUGGAGUAUUUUUG